Molecule: ribosomal RNA, 467 nt
Filed under: uncultured bacterium
Lineage: Bacteria
Description: bacterial SSU rRNA
Rfam family: Bacterial small subunit ribosomal RNA
Source: RNAcentral
GAUUAACGCUGGCGGCGUGCAUAACACAUGCAAGUCGAACGAUGAAACUUAAAAGAUUUCUUCGGAAUGAACUUAAGUGAAUUAGUGGCGAACGGGUGAGUAACGCGUGAGUAACCUGCCUUACACAAGGGGAUAGCCUCUGGAAACGGAGAAUAAUACCCUAUGAAACUAUCUUAUCGCAUGAAAAGAUAGUCAAAGUGUUUUAGCGGUGUAAGAUGGACUUGCGUCUGAUUAGCUAGUUGGUGAGAUAACAGCCCACCAAGGCAACGAUCAGUAGCCGGCUUGAGAGAGUGUACGGCCACAUUGGGACUGAGACACGGCCCAGACUCCUACGGGAGGCAGCAGUGGGGAAUUUUGCACAAUGGGGGCAACCCUGAUGCAGCGACGCCGCGUGAUUUAGAAGGCCUUCGGGUUGUAAAAUCUUUUGUAUAGGAAGAAAAUGACAGUACUAUACGAAUAAGGUCCGG